UCUCGAUCGGGCAUUCGAGUUCUUGUCCAUUUAAGCAUGCCAUUGUUCGCUACAUUUCUUCAUUCUGCAUUCUUAACACGCUAUCGAUGCUCUUGUUCAAGAUGUAUCGAUGGAGUUAAGUUUCUGCGGAUAGAUUUCGAGCGGUUUUCAUGAGUGAAGAAAAGUGAGGAGGGGAAUAUGAGUGAAAAGUGGUCUUUGAAGGUGGUUUGAAGUUUGAACUGCAGCAUGCAGAAAGGUUUUGUUUAUAGACUUGCCUUGGAUGUGGGCCCAUAGUUGAUGGUGGUGAAGAUGCAUCAAGAGUGUUAACAGGAUUAUGAAGCAAUUCCGAUGAACGAACAAAAGGUACUAUAUGCUUUUUUAUUUUAGAAGAAAAAUUAGUUUAUUUGGGAAACUAAAAGAAUUUGGAUUGUAAAGAUCCACACAAAACUGACGAAGAUCUUUGGAUGAGUGAUUUUAACUAUAACAUUAAUUAGAUCAUUAAAGUAAUGAAUUAGAUCGUUACUUUUAAACAAUUUUUUUAAAUAGCAUCUCAAUAAUGUCGUUCAUAUUGAUUGUGAAAAUGAAAUUUAGUAGACAAUGAGUUAAAUAUAUCAUUGCAUGUACUCUGAAGAGUCAUACAAAUGGUUAUUUUUGUGGUACUUAAUUUCUUGAAUUAAAUGGUUACGUUGAUAAUUUCAUUGGUGUCUAUUUUCUAACAAUAUUGUGGUAAAUACUAUUUGUAUUUCUUUAAGAAGUUGUUAUAUAAGUUUAAUGGGUAAAAAAAACGGAAACAUUGUCGAAAGCAAAAUUGCCUCAUAACAUGAAGUAAUGAAACUCUACUAACAAAACAUGAGAGAAAUAAUUGUUUAACUUACAGGAGAACCAUCAACACUAAUAGAGUAUCUGACAUCAUUUGUGCAAUAAGGAGAUUACAAAAACUGAAAAAAGAAAUUGUUAACAUGAGUAAUAUGUGCCACGUGUUUGAACAAAUAAAUGUAAUUAUGAUUUUGAGCAAACUUCUUCAGCUAUAAGUGAUCACUUGUCGUACUUCUUAGGUUACCCAUAUAAGUAUGCGCCUUUGUCUUUUGCAUAUAGAAAAGACAUGACGCGUAUCUAUGUAAUGAACCUAUUUUGUAACACAUUUGAUUACUGUAAUACUUACAGUAGAAGGAGGUUCUUAAUCGUUGCAUAAUUAUAUUUUUUUUCUGUAACACACAUGUCAUGUCUAUUCUCAUGAUAAGUGCAAUUCUUUUUUUAGUUUUUAUGAGUUUCUUAUCGCAGAAAUGAUGUUAGACAUUUUUACUAUUGUUGAUGUUUCUCCUAUAAGUUGGAAGAUUGUUUCUUCCAUUUUCUCUCAUAGUAGAAUUUUAUUUAGUUAA
This is a long non-coding RNA of Vigna angularis (adzuki bean), 1358 nucleotides long. RefSeq lists it as uncharacterized. Lineage: Eukaryota; Viridiplantae; Streptophyta; Magnoliopsida; Fabales; Fabaceae. The transcript has 3 exons. The record is from RefSeq and is a predicted model, not a curated record.